This 254-nucleotide ribosomal RNA is filed under the name uncultured bacterium. Its description in RNAcentral is "partial 16S ribosomal RNA". It matches the Rfam family "Bacterial small subunit ribosomal RNA", at positions 524 to 776 of the family's 1533-position model. The record is from RNAcentral.
GACGAACCGUGCGAACGUUAUUCGGAAUCACUGGGCCUAAAGCGCGUGUAGGCGGCCCGGCACGUCUCUGGCUGAAAUCCCCCGGCUCAACCGGGGAAGUGGCCGGGAUACGACCGGGCUGGAGGGGGGUAGGGGGGACGGGAACUCCGGGUGGAGCGGUGAAAUGCGUUGAGAUCCGGAGGAACGCCCGCGGCGAAAGCGCGUCCCUGGACCCCGCCUGACGCUGAGACGCGAAAGCCAGGGGAGCAAACGGG